AAGACAUAAAUACUACUGAACCUCGUUUAGACGUCCUUAUCCACAACGCCGGUUACGCAGACCUUCUUAAAAAAAGAAAAUCAGCUGAUGAUAUUGAAUUAACACUGGCAACUAAUCAUUACGGACCUUUUUUACUAACUCAUUUAUUAAUUAAACUAUUAAAAAAAUCAUCACCAUCUCGUAUAGUAGUUGUCGCAUCUUCUUUGUAUCGCUUGGGAUAUUUUAAUAUUAAUAAUCCGAAUCCAGUGAAUGAUUUCUCCGGUUACCAAUAUUAUGUAUCAAAAGAGGCGAACAUACUUUUCACUAAGGAAUUAUCUAGAAGAUUAGAAGGCACAGGAGUGACUGUUAAUUGUUUACACCCUGGAUUAAUUGACACUGGUAUUUGGAACUCUAUUCCGAGACCUUUGUCUUGGUUCUGGAAUUUGGUUAUCAAAGGUUUCUUUAAAACACCAAUUGAAGGUUGUCAAACUACUGUCAUGUUGGCGGUAGACGAAGAUCUUUUGAAAACAACAGGGAAAUAUUUCUCAGAUUGUCAAGAAAGUUCCGUAUCGAAUACUGCAAGUGAUAUGAAAAGAGCAAAAAAAUUAUGGGAAAUAUCAGAAAAGAUGGUCAAAUUGGAUGAAAACGAUACUAGGAUUUAA
Non-coding RNA from Papilio xuthus (Asian swallowtail), 641 nucleotides. Lineage: Eukaryota; Metazoa; Arthropoda; Insecta; Lepidoptera; Papilionidae. The record is from RefSeq and is a predicted model, not a curated record.